Molecule: ribosomal RNA, 490 nt
Filed under: uncultured bacterium
Lineage: Bacteria
Description: partial 16S ribosomal RNA
Rfam family: Bacterial small subunit ribosomal RNA
Source: RNAcentral
AUUGAACGCUGGCGGCAGGCCUAACACAUGCAAGUCGAACGGUAACAGGAAGCAGCUUGCUGCUUUGCUGACGAGUGGCGGACGGGUGAGUAAUGUCUGGGAAACUGCCCGAUGGAGGGGGAUAACUACUGGAAACGGUAGCUAAUACCGCAUAACGUCGCAAGACCAAAGAGGGGGACCUUAGGGCCUCUUGCCAUCGGAUGUGCCCAGAUGGGAUUAGCUAGUAGGUGGGGUAACGGCUCACCUAGGCGACGAUCCCUAGCUGGUCUGAGAGGAUGACCAGCCACACUGGAACUGAGACACGGUCCAGACUCCUACGGGAGGCAGCAGUGGGGAAUAUUGCACAAUGGGCGCAAGCCUGAUGCAGCCAUGCCGCGUGUAUGAAGAAGGCCUUCGGGUUGUAAAGUACUUUCAGCGGGGAGGAAGGGAGUAAAGUUAAUACCUUUGCUCGUUGACGUUACCCGCAGAAGAAGCACCGGCUAACUCCGUG